Molecule: ribosomal RNA, 253 nt
Filed under: uncultured bacterium
Lineage: Bacteria
Description: partial 16S ribosomal RNA
Rfam family: Bacterial small subunit ribosomal RNA
Source: RNAcentral
UACGGGGGGGGCAAGCGUUGUUCGGAAUUACUGGGCGUAAAGCGCACGUAGGCGGCUAUUCAAGUCAGAGGUGAAAGCCCGGGGCUCAACCCCGGAACUGCCUUUGAAACUAGGUAGCUAGAAUCUUGGAGAGGUCAGUGGAAUUCCGAGUGUAGAGGUGAAAUUCGUAGAUAUUCGGAAGAACACCAGUGGCGAAGGCGACUGACUGGACAAGUAUUGACGCUGAGGUGCGAAAGCGUGGGGAGCAAACAGG